GUUAGCUAAUAAAUAUUAAUGUUUAUCACAUGCCAGUGUCUUUGGCUAUACAGCAAACCCAAAGACCAGCCACUAACUACAUCUGGCAUCUAUGAAGCAGAAAGACAAAAGGUAAGUGUUAAAUACCUCACAACUAGUAUUUCUUGACCCUUUACUGAAAAGAAUCAAUUGGCAAAUAUCAUGAACAGAAGUAAUACAAGGCAGAUAUAUACCAUAAUGGAUGGAGGAGGAGUGGGAAAUAGAAACCAAAAAGUAAUAGGCAAAAUGGUGUCUCUGAGGGAAAAAUGAGUCAAUGAUUCUUAAUGUUUUUGGUAUAAUGGACACAUUAUAUUGUGAAGAUUAAAUUUAACUCUCUCCUGAUUAUGAAAAUGAAAUUAAUUAACUCUCUCCUGAUUGUGAAAAUUAAAUUAACUCCCUGCCCAUUUUUAGAUUUAAUCACCAAAAGUAUAAACAUCCCACUUAAUCAUUAAGUGGGAAGGUCUGUGACCCAUGUGUAAAUAGUGGGUGACGAAUCAAAAUCAAACUGACUUGCCUGUGGGCUGUCCCAAGCAAAGCUUCAACUGUGAUUUGUAGACAUAAAAUUAGGGGAAGGCACAGGAAGUGAUGCAAAAGAAAGUGUCUUUAAAAGGGAGUUACAACUUCCUGAGUGGAGUUCAACUUGGACUUUGGCUUCUUCUGGAGUUCUGAGUUUGAGUUGGAGGUUGGUGAAGAAUCUGUUGACUGGACCUGAGACCCUGUACAUGGUGAGACUGUCCUUGAAUCUCUUCCUUUGGACUGACACAUGGUGCCUUCUUAGUUACUCUGAGAGUACCCUUUGCAACUUCUGGGAAUAUAGUAGCCAUCUUCUAGACAACUGACUCCUAAAUUCAAGUGUGUGUUGGGAAGGUAAGUCUAUAGUACAUAGGAUUACCUCC
RNAcentral lists this long non-coding RNA (914 nucleotides) under Monodelphis domestica (gray short-tailed opossum). Its description in RNAcentral is "lncRNA (ENSMODG00000032441.2)". Lineage: Eukaryota; Metazoa; Chordata; Mammalia; Didelphimorphia; Didelphidae. The record is from RNAcentral.